GACGAACGCUGGCGGCGUGCUUAACACAUGCAAGUCGAACGAUGAAGCCCUCGGGUGGAUUAGUGGCGAACGGGUGAGUAACACGUGGAUAAUCUGCCUUGCACUCUGGGAUAAGCCUGAGAAAUUGGGUCUAAUACCGGAUAUGACUCUUAAAAGCAUUUUUUUGAGUGUAAAGUUUUUUCGGUGCAAGAUGAGUCCGCGGCCUAUCAGUUUGUUGGUGGGGUAAUAGCCUACCAAGACUAUGACGGGUAGCCGGCCUGAGAGGGUGAUCGGCCACACUGGGACUGAGAUACGGCCCAGACUCCUACGGGAGGCAGCAGUGGGGAAUAUUGCACAAUGGGCGCAAGCCUGAUGCAGCGACGCCGCGUGGGGGAUGAAGGCCUUCGGGUUGUAAACCUCUUUCGGCAGGGACGAAGCGCAAG
Molecule: ribosomal RNA, 422 nt
Filed under: uncultured bacterium
Lineage: Bacteria
Description: bacterial SSU rRNA
Rfam family: Bacterial small subunit ribosomal RNA
Source: RNAcentral